This 702-nucleotide ribosomal RNA is filed under the name Thermococcus sp. Tc70-SC-I. RNAcentral's name for it is "bacterial SSU rRNA". It matches the Rfam family "Archaeal small subunit ribosomal RNA", at positions 4 to 700 of the family's 1478-position model. The record is from RNAcentral. Lineage: Archaea; Methanobacteriati; Methanobacteriota; Thermococci; Thermococcales; Thermococcaceae.
CCCGUUGAUCCUGCCGGAGGCCACUGCUAUGGGGGUCCGACUAAGCCAUGCGAGUCAUGGGGCGCGCUCUGCGCGCACCGGCGGACGGCUCAGUAACACGUCGGUAACCUACCCUCGGGAGGGGGAUAACCCCGGGAAACUGGGGCUAAUCCCCCAUAGGCCUGAGGUACUGGAAGGUCCUCAGGCCGAAAGGGGCAUCUGCCCGCCCGAGGAUGGGCCGGCGGCCGAUUAGGUAGUUGGUGGGGUAACGGCCCACCAAGCCGAAGAUCGGUACGGGCCAUGAGAGUGGGAGCCCGGAGAUGGACACUGAGACACGGGUCCAGGCCCUACGGGGCGCAGCAGGCGCGAAACCUCCGCAAUGCGGGCAACCGCGACGGGGGGACCCCCAGUGCCGUGGCAUCGCCACGGCUUUUCCGGAGUGUAAAAAGCUCCGGGAAUAAGGGCUGGGCAAGGCCGGUGGCAGCCGCCGCGGUAAUACCGGCGGCCCGAGUGGUGGCCGCUAUUAUUGGGCCUAAAGCGUCCGUAGCCGGGCCCGUAAGUCCCUGGCGAAAUCCCACGGCUCAACCGUGGGGCUUGCUGGGGAUACUGCGGGCCUUGGGACCGGGAGAGGCCGGGGGUACCCCUGGGGUAGGGGUGAAAUCCUAUAAUCCCAGGGGGACCGCCAGUGGCGAAGGCGCCCGGCUGGAACGGGUCCGACGGUGA